UACGGGGGGAGCAAGCGUUGUUCGGAUUUACUGGGCGUAAAGGGCGCGUAGGCGGCGUGACAAGUCAGUUGUGAAAUCUCCGGGCUUAACUCGGAACGGUCAACUGAUACUGUGCGACUAGAGUGCAGAAGGGGCAACUGGAAUUCUCGGUGUAGCGGUGAAAUGCGUAGAUAUCGAGAGGAACACCUGCGGCGAAGGCGGGUUGCUGGGCUGACACUGACGCUGAGGCGCGAAAGCCAGGGGAGCGAACGGG
Molecule: ribosomal RNA, 253 nt
Filed under: uncultured bacterium
Lineage: Bacteria
Description: partial 16S ribosomal RNA
Rfam family: Bacterial small subunit ribosomal RNA
Source: RNAcentral